ACCUAUAGAGGCAAUGACGAGGAGCAGUGGAUAUAAUACAAAUUGAUACAUUCAAGUACGGCUACAUAAUCAUGGACAGGAUAUGACGAUAGAUCAAAUAAACAGAGUGUGUCCGGAUUUGACCUGGAUUUGCAUGGCGGGCGUCAUCGAGGAGCAGAGUUAGAGGCUUACACUCCCGGAACACCUGGUUAGGACUACGCGGUUUCGUUUAGGACAAGCAGAGGAACCGAUAAAGAUGCAGCAUCUCUUAUGAUAAUAUAUAUAGAUCAAGGUGGCCUAAUUUUGCAAAAUUAAAAUCAAUAUCUAUUGGUCA
This is a long non-coding RNA of Pecten maximus, 313 nucleotides long. RefSeq lists it as uncharacterized. Lineage: Eukaryota; Metazoa; Mollusca; Bivalvia; Pectinida; Pectinidae. The transcript is spliced from 2 exons. The record is from RefSeq and is a predicted model, not a curated record.